GCGGUCGUGGUGGAAUUGGUAGACACGCCAGCUUGAGGUGCUGGUGGCCGAAAGGCUGUGCUGGUUCAAGUCCAGUCGUCCGCA
RNAcentral lists this transfer RNA (84 nucleotides) under Parasphaerochaeta coccoides DSM 17374. RNAcentral's name for it is "tRNA-Leu (GAG) (tRNA-Leu-GAG-1-1)". It matches the Rfam family "tRNA". Rfam says of the family: Transfer RNA (tRNA) molecules are approximately 80 nucleotides in length. Their secondary structure includes four short double-helical elements and three loops (D, anti-codon, and T loops). Lineage: Bacteria; Pseudomonadati; Spirochaetota; Spirochaetia; Spirochaetales; Sphaerochaetaceae. The record is from Rfam by way of RNAcentral.